Molecule: ribosomal RNA, 253 nt
Filed under: uncultured bacterium
Lineage: Bacteria
Description: partial 16S ribosomal RNA
Rfam family: Bacterial small subunit ribosomal RNA
Source: RNAcentral
UACGUAGGUGGCAAGCGUUGUCCGGAAUUACUGGGUGUAAAGGGAGCGCAGGCGGGAAGCCAAGUCAGCUGUGAAAACUACGGGCUUAACUUGAAGACUGCAGUUGAAACUGGUUUUCUUGAGUGAAGUAGAGGUUGGCGGAAUUCCGAGUGUAGCGGUGAAAUGCGUAGAUAUUCGGAGGAACACCGGUGGCGAAGGCGGCCAACUGGGCUUUAACUGACGCUGAGGCUCGAAAGUGUGGGGAGCAAACAGG